GACGAACGCUGGCGGCGUGCUUAACACAUGCAAGUCGAACGGAAAGGCCCUGCUUUUGUGGGGUGCUCGAGUGGCGAACGGGUGAGUAACACGUGAGUAACCUGCCCUUGACUUUGGGAUAACUUCAGGAAACUGGGGCUAAUACCGGAUAGGAGCUCCCGCUGCAUGGUGGGGGUUGGAAAGUUUCGGCGGUUGGGGAUGGACUCGCGGCUUAUCAGCUUGUUGGUGGGGUAGUGGCUUACCAAGGCUUUGACGGGUAGCCGGCCUGAGAGGGUGACCGGCCACAUUGCGACUGAGAUACUGCCCAGACUCCAACGGGGGGCAGCGGUGGGAAAUAUUGCACAAUGGGCGGAAGCCUGAUGCAGCAACGCCGCGUGCGGGAUGACGGCCUUCGGGUUGUAACCCGCUUUCGCCUGUGACGAAGCGUGGGUGACGGUAAUGGGUAAAGAAGCACCGGCUAACUUCGUG
This 468-nucleotide ribosomal RNA is filed under the name uncultured bacterium. RNAcentral's name for it is "partial 16S ribosomal RNA". It matches the Rfam family "Bacterial small subunit ribosomal RNA", at positions 28 to 507 of the family's 1533-position model. The record is from RNAcentral.